UAUCCAUACUUCUUUAUUUCCUCCAAAAUUACUUUUAGAAAUCUAAAUUUCACAAGCAUAAAGUCUUGUCAACCUUUCAUUCAGCAUCAUUCCCACCAUUCCUCCAUCAGUCUCAAAAGCUCUCCAACUGCAAGUAAAGAGCCAUGUAUACUGUGAACAGGGGCAUUUUUACCCAAGCCAUCCUGUGUGGCCUCGAACAUACGAUAGUACCUGUUCAAAAGCAAAACGAAACAGCAUUUAUUACUCAAUA
This is a non-coding RNA of Jatropha curcas, 250 nucleotides long. The record is from RefSeq and is a predicted model, not a curated record. Lineage: Eukaryota; Viridiplantae; Streptophyta; Magnoliopsida; Malpighiales; Euphorbiaceae.